This 158-nucleotide ribosomal RNA is filed under the name uncultured bacterium. RNAcentral describes it as "partial 16S ribosomal RNA". It matches the Rfam family "Bacterial small subunit ribosomal RNA", at positions 353 to 528 of the family's 1533-position model. The record is from RNAcentral.
UGGGGAAUAUAUAGGACAAUGGGCGAAAGCCUGAUCCAGCAAUGCCGCGUGAGUGAUGAAGGCCUUAGGGUUGUAAAGCUCUUUUACCCGGGAUGAUAAUGACAGUACCGGGAGAAUAAKCCCCGGAUAACUCCGUGCCAGCAGCCGCGGUAAUAUUA